AGCAACAGGGAUUGCCCUAGUAACGGCGAGUGAAGCGGCAACAGCUCAAAUUUGAAAUCUGGCUCCUUUGGGGUCCGAGUUGUAAUUUGCAGAGGGAGCUUUUGGCGUCGGUCGUGGUCUAAGUUCCUUGGAACAGGACGUCACAGAGGGUGAGAAUCCCGUACGUGGCCGCCGGCCUUCGCCUUGUAAAGCCCCUUCGACGAGUCGAGUUGUUUGGGAAUGCAGCUCUAAAUGGGAGGUAAAUUUCUUCUAAAGCUAAAUACCCGCCAGAGACCGAUAGCGCACAAGUAGAGUGAUCGAAAGAUGAAAAGCACUUUGGAAAGAGAGUGAAAAAGCACGUGAAAUUGUUGAAAGGGAAGCGCUUGCGGCCAGACGUGCCCGCGGUUGAUCAUCCAGGCUCCAGCCUGGUGCACUCCUCCGCGGGCAGGCCAGCAUCAGUUCGGGCGGUCGGAUAAAGGCCUCUAUCACGUACCACCCCUCGGGGUGGCCUUAUAGGGGAGGCGCAACACGGCCAGCCCGGACUGAGGUUCCGCGCAUCUGCUAGGAUGCUGGCGUAAUGGCAGCAAGCGGCCCGUCUUGAAACACGGACCAAGGAGUCUAACAUCUAUGCGAGUGUUUGGGUGUCAAGCCCGAGCGCGCAAUGAAAGUGAACGGAGGUGGGAACCCUUACCGGUGCACCAUCGACCGAUCCUGAUGUCUUCGGAUGGAUUUGAGUAAGAGCAUAGCUGUUGGGACCCGAAAGAUGGUGAACUAUGCCUGAAUAGGGUGAAGCCAGAGGAAACUCUGGUGGAGGCUCGCAGCGGUUCUGACGUGCAAAUCGAUCGUCAAAUUUGGGCAUAGGGGCGAAAGACUAAUCG
This 857-nucleotide ribosomal RNA is filed under the name Torula fici. RNAcentral's name for it is "partial large subunit ribosomal RNA". It matches the Rfam family "Eukaryotic large subunit ribosomal RNA", at positions 64 to 937 of the family's 3401-position model. Lineage: Eukaryota; Fungi; Ascomycota; Dothideomycetes; Pleosporales; Torulaceae. The record is from RNAcentral.